GACGAACGCUGGCGGCGUGCUUAACACAUGCAAGUCGAACGAAGAGCGACGGAAGCUUGCUUCUAUCAAUCUUAGUGGCGAACGGGUGAGUAACGCGUAAUCAACCUGCCCUCCAGAGGGGGACAACAGUUGGAAACGACUGCUAAUACCGCAUACGAUCUAACCUCGGCAUCGAGGAUAGAUGAAAGGUGGCCUCUACAUGUAAGCUAUCACUGAAGGAGGGGAUUGCGUCUGAUUAGCUAGUUGGAGGGGUAACGGCCCACCAAGGCGAUGAUCAGUAGCCGGUCUGAGAGGAUGAACGGCCACAUUGGGACUGAGACACGGCCCAGACUCCUACGGGAGGCAGCAGUGGGGAAUCUUCCGCAAUGGACGAAAGUCUGACGGAGCAACGCCGCGUGAGUGAUGACGGCCUUCGGGUUGUAAAGCUCUGUUAAUCGGGACGAAAGGCCUUCUUGCGAAUAGUGAGAAGGAUUGACGGUACCGGAAUAGAAAGCCACGGCUAACUACGUG
This 510-nucleotide ribosomal RNA is filed under the name uncultured bacterium. RNAcentral's name for it is "partial 16S ribosomal RNA". It matches the Rfam family "Bacterial small subunit ribosomal RNA", at positions 28 to 507 of the family's 1533-position model. The record is from RNAcentral.